This 237-nucleotide ribosomal RNA is filed under the name uncultured bacterium. Its description in RNAcentral is "partial 16S ribosomal RNA". It matches the Rfam family "Bacterial small subunit ribosomal RNA", at positions 102 to 339 of the family's 1533-position model. The record is from RNAcentral.
ACGGGUGAGUAACACGUGGAUAAUCUGCCUUAAAGUGGAGGAUAGCCAUUGGAAACGAUGGGUAAUACUGCAUAAUAUUAUUUCUUGGGGACAAGAAUUAAUCAAAGAUUUAUCGCUUUAAGAUGAGUCCGCGCUCUAUCAGCUAGUUGGUGAGGUAAUGGCUCACCAAGGCUACGACGGAUAGCCGGCCUGAAAGGGUGAUCGGCCACAUUGGAACUGAUACACGGUCCAAACUCC